UUUAAAUAGUUUAAUAAAAACGUUGGUUUGUGGGACCAAAAUUAUAACUAAGUAUAUUUUAAAUUA
RNAcentral lists this transfer RNA (66 nucleotides) under Euastacus yarraensis (Yarra cray). RNAcentral's name for it is "tRNA-His". Lineage: Eukaryota; Metazoa; Arthropoda; Malacostraca; Decapoda; Parastacidae. The record is from RNAcentral.